GAUCCUGGCUUAGGAUGAACGCUAGCGGCAGGCUUAACACAUGCAAGUCGAGGGGCAGCGGGAUGUAGCAAUACAUUGCCGGCGACCGGCGGAUGGGUGCGUAACGCGUAUGCAACCUACCUAUACAGGGGAAUAACCUUUCGAAAGGGAGACUAACACCCCAUAGUAUUGAUUUAAGGCAUCUUAGAUUAAUUAAAUAUUUAUAGGUAUAAGAUGGGCAUGCGUAUGAUUAGCUAGUUGGUAAGGUAACGGCUUACCAAGGCGACGAUCAUUAGGGGUUCUGAGAGGAAGGUCCCCCACACUGGUACUGAGACACGGACCAGACUCCUACGGGAGGCAGCAGUGAGGAAUAUUGGUCAAUGGGCGCAAGCCUGAACCAGCCAUGCCGCGUGCAGGAAAAGACGGCCUUAUGGGUUGUAAACUGCUUUUACAUAAGACUAACCGUAUAUUUGCGAAUAUACCUGAAUGUAUUAUGAGAAUAAGGAUCGGCUAACUCCGUGCCAGCAGCGGC
RNAcentral lists this ribosomal RNA (511 nucleotides) under uncultured bacterium. RNAcentral describes it as "bacterial SSU rRNA". It matches the Rfam family "Bacterial small subunit ribosomal RNA", at positions 15 to 518 of the family's 1533-position model. The record is from RNAcentral.